RNAcentral lists this long non-coding RNA (466 nucleotides) under Cricetulus griseus (Chinese hamster). Its description in RNAcentral is "lncRNA (ENSCGRG00015029299.1)". The record is from RNAcentral. Lineage: Eukaryota; Metazoa; Chordata; Mammalia; Rodentia; Cricetidae.
UGUGUGUGUGUGUGUGUGUGUGUGUACAAGCCCACAUGGGGCACAGCACACAUGUAGAAGUCAGAGGACAACUUGUGGAAGUCAGUUCUCUCCUUCUGCAAGGCAUGCUAUCUCUAUUUGAUUCAGUUUGGCCUUGCAGUCAUAUUCCAUUGCUACAGAUCAGCUCCCAACUGAUUAUCCGGUCUACUAUUGUGUGAGUCAGGUGCUGAGAACUCCUCUGUGCUUUUGACUGAAAGAAUCAGAGAUGGGUCUCACUAUGCAGCCAACAACAUCUGCAAACCUGGAGCAACUCUGCCUCAGCUUCCAGAGUUCUGGGAUUCGAGCAAUGGAUGACAGUGGCUUCACUGUUUCCCAGUGAUUGGGAUGGGCCACUGAAUAAAGUGCUCCCAGAUUAUGGCUUCAUAUGGAAUUGAGCAGAAAGAGUGACCUCUGCCUUUGACGACACUCAAGUGGCAUAGGAAUCUAC